Molecule: ribosomal RNA, 420 nt
Filed under: bacterium
Lineage: Bacteria
Description: partial 16S ribosomal RNA
Rfam family: Bacterial small subunit ribosomal RNA
Source: RNAcentral
UGGGGGAUAUUGCACAAUGGGCGAAAGCCUGAUGCAGCGACGCCGCGUGGGGGAUGAAGGCUGUCGGGUUGUAAACCUCUUUCGCUAUCGAAGAAGGCGCGCUUAGGGGGGGUGGAGGGUAGGUGGAGAAGAAGAGACGGCUAACUACGUGCCAGCAGCCGCGGUAAUACGUAGGGCGCGAGCGUUGUCCGGAAUUAUUGGGCGUAAAGGGCUUGUAGGCGGCUUGUUGCGCCUGCUGUGAAAACGCGGGGCUUAACUUCGCGCGUGCAGUGGGUACGGGCCGGCUUGAGUGUGGUAGGGGUGACUGGAAUUCCAGGUGUAGCGGUGGAAUGCGCAGAUAUCUGGUGGAACACCGAUGGCGAAGGCAGGUCACUGGGCCGUUACUGACGCUGAGGAGCGAAAGCAUGGGUAGCGAACAGG